RNAcentral lists this ribosomal RNA (1029 nucleotides) under Gymnoascus exasperatus. Its description in RNAcentral is "SSU rRNA". It matches the Rfam family "Eukaryotic small subunit ribosomal RNA", at positions 73 to 1111 of the family's 1831-position model. The record is from RNAcentral. Lineage: Eukaryota; Fungi; Ascomycota; Eurotiomycetes; Onygenales; Gymnoascaceae.
UCUAUACGGUGAAACUGCGAAUGGCUCAUUAAAUCAGUUAUCGUUUAUUUGAUAGUACCUUACUACAUGGAUACCCGUGGUAAUUCUAGAGCUAAUACAUGCUAAAAACCUCGACUUCGGAAGGGGUGUAUUUAUUAGAUAAAAAACCAAUGCCCUUCGGGGCUCCUUGGUGAUUCAUAAUAACUUCUCGAAUCGCAUGGCCUUGCGCCGGCGAUGGUUCAUUCAAAUUUCUGCCCUAUCAACUUUCGAUGGUAGGAUAGUGGCCUACCAUGGUGGCAACGGGUAACGGGGAAUUAGGGUUCGAUUCCGGAGAGGGAGCCUGAGAAACGGCUACCACAUCCAAGGAAGGCAGCAGGCGCGCAAAUUACCCAAUCCCGAUACGGGGAGGUAGUGACAAUAAAUACUGAUACAGGGCUCUUUCGGGUCUUGUAAUUGGAAUGAGUACAAUUUAAAUCCCUUAACGAGGAACAAUUGGAGGGCAAGUCUGGUGCCAGCAGCCGCGGUAAUUCCAGCUCCAAUAGCGUAUAUUAAAGUUGUUGCAGUUAAAAAGCUCGUAGUUGAACCUUGGGCCUGGCUGGCCGGUCCGCCUCACGGCGUGCACUGGUCCGGCCGGGUCUUUCCUUCUGGGGAGCCCCAUGGCCUUCACUGGCUGUGGGGGGAACCAGGACUUUUACUGUGAAAAAAUUAGAGUGUUCAAAGCAGGCCUUUGCUCGGAUACAUUAGCAUGGAAUAAUAGAAUAGGACGUGCGGUUCUAUUUUGUUGGUUUCUAGGACCGCCGUAAUGAUUAAUAGGGAUGGUCGGGGGCGUCAGUAUUCGGCUGUCAGAGGUGAAAUUCUUGGAUUUGCCGAAGACUAACUACUGCGAAAGCAUUCGCCAAGGAUGUUUUCAUUAAUCAGUGAACGAAAGUUAGGGGAUCGAAGACGAUCAGAUACCGUCGUAGUCUUAACCAUAAACUAUGCCGACUAGGGAUCGGACGGUGUUUAUAUGAUGACCCGUUCGGCACCUUACGAGAAAUCAAAGUUUUUGGG